RNAcentral lists this transfer RNA (72 nucleotides) under Capra hircus (goat). It matches the Rfam family "tRNA". Rfam says of the family: Transfer RNA (tRNA) molecules are approximately 80 nucleotides in length. Their secondary structure includes four short double-helical elements and three loops (D, anti-codon, and T loops). Further hydrogen bonds mediate the characteristic L-shaped molecular structure. tRNAs have two regions of fundamental functional importance: the anti-codon, which is responsible for specific mRNA codon recognition, and the 3' end, to which the tRNAs corresponding amino acid is attached (by aminoacyl-tRNA synthetases). tRNAs cope with the degeneracy of the genetic code in two manners: having more than one tRNA (with a specific anti-codon) for a particular amino acid; and 'wobble' base-pairing, i.e. permitting non-standard base-pairing at the 3rd anti-codon position. The record is from Rfam by way of RNAcentral. Lineage: Eukaryota; Metazoa; Chordata; Mammalia; Artiodactyla; Bovidae. RNAcentral also lists the same sequence under 2 other names.
UCCCUGGUAGCUCAGAGGUUAAAGCGUCUGCCUGCAAUGCGGGAGACCUGGGUUUGAUCCCUGGGUUGGGAA